Molecule: ribosomal RNA, 465 nt
Filed under: uncultured Klebsiella sp.
Lineage: Bacteria; Pseudomonadati; Pseudomonadota; Gammaproteobacteria; Enterobacterales; Enterobacteriaceae
Description: bacterial SSU rRNA
Rfam family: Bacterial small subunit ribosomal RNA
Source: RNAcentral
CCUACGGGUGGCAGCAGUGGGGAAUAUUGCACAAUGGGCGCAAGCCUGAUGCAGCCAUGCCGCGUGUGUGAAGAAGGCCUUCGGGUUGUAAAGCACUUUCAGCGGGGAGGAAGGCGUUAAGGUUAAUAACCUUGUCGAUUGACGUUACCCGCAGAAGAAGCACCGGCUAACUCCGUGCCAGCAGCCGCGGUAAUACGGAGGGUGCAAGCGUUAAUCGGAAUUACUGGGCGUAAAGCGCACGCAGGCGGUCUGUCAAGUCGGAUGUGAAAUCCCCGGGCUCAACCUGGGAACUGCAUUCGAAACUGGCAGGCUAGAGUCUUGUAGAGGGGGGUAGAAUUCCAGGUGUAGCGGUGAAAUGCGUAGAGAUCUGGAGGGAUACCGGUGGCGAAGGCGGCCCCCUGGACAAAGACUGGCGCUCAGGUGCGAAAGCGUGGGGAGCAAACAGGAUUAGAUACCCCGGUAGUC